AUUUAUUAUAUUGGCAGAGGCCUACAAGUUCAAAACAGCUUUAGGAGUUUGAGCUCAAAGAACAUAGAGAACUGGUACAUCUUUUCUGUUCUUGAUAAUAUUUACUGGUAAAACCCAUUUGUUGCACUAGAAUUACUGGAGUACUUAGCAAGAGCAUUGCAAUGUUUGGACUUGCAUACAUUUGCCAAGAACAGGUCGCUUGUUUCUGCUGUACAAUCAGAUCUUCAGCCAUAAUUUUGCUCUACCAUAACCACAGCCAAAUUGGCAUGAAGGGAAACAGCAAUACUUACUACAGUGACCGCACGUUACCUAAUGGUGGUGCCCUUGCUUCACUUGAUAAGCUACAAGUAUGUUCUUUGUCUCUCUGAAGUAGCAUGCAUGUAUGGAUAAGGUAUUACAAUAAUGAAAUAAGGUCAAAAAGAAUGCUUAAAAAAAUUCACUGUGCAAUUUCUUGCAGAACAUGUGGAUAACAGUAUGGUGCACAUUUAUGAAGGAAACCAACUAAAAAGCAUCACAGUCUGGCAUAAAAAGCAUAGAGUGUUGUUCAGCAUUUCAAUCUCUGAAAUACAGCAAGUACUGAAAAAGAUUUUUUUGCAAUUGUAAAACUUAACCAGAUCAGAGUUAAUCUGCUUAACUUGAUGUGAAGUUUAUCAUGCCUCUUUUUUUAUCUGCUACUUUAAGGAAGUAUUGUCUGCAUGAACUCAUCUGUAAAGCAGAAUGGUGAGGGCUAUUCUGAUUUUCUGAGCUAGCCAACUGACUCAUGGUCCUUGGCCAGCACUGAAGGAGGUGUGAAAUAUUCUUGUCCGUGCUGGAGUGCUGGGUGGUGCUCAGACCUGUGUUUGAGACAGUAUUUGAUUCUGUUCAAAGGUGAAGCCUUGCAAACCAAGCUACUGCAGUGUCAGCUGCAGUUCUCACCUGGUCUGGGGAACUGCUGUUUCUGCUUCAGGCUUUCCAGUCAGGUUCUCAGUAGCAGAUCACUUGAAGGACAUCCACAUACAAAAGGGUGACAAGCUCCGACCACUGUCAUGUAUCACACAAUCAAGACGAAAACAUUGUGGGAAGAACUUACAAGUUAUAUAGCAAACUUCACUGGCUCAGGGAUGACAUUAACCACUGCAGGAUGUAUGAACAGAUCUAAAAUGAGAGCGUGAAACAGGAAGGCAGAAGAUGUGUGCUGCAAGGGUCAAGAAGGCUCUUGCAUGAACAGAAAAUAAACUAGUACCAUCUGAGCAAAAAUGAAACAAAGUUUGUUAAGUAAUGCAGAAUGAGAACAGCAAGGGUCUGGAAAAUAAAACACAAGCAGCUGGAUUUGCAGACCUCGAUGACCUGUGUUUCUCUGCUGCUUGGAUUUGCUUAUGUCUGAAAACACAUUUGAGCCCUAACUCCAGUCUUUUCAGGGGUAUGAAAUAUCUCAAUCACUCAGCUGCUCAUUCUUGUGAAACGUCCAGGAACUCUCCUUAAAACUUCCACUUUGCUCUCAAACUGGCCAAGGGGUUCAAAAAUGACUGGGAAAGAGGGACUGAGUGCAUUGGAAUAGCUUGAUUUUUGUUAAGGACAUCAGCAUUUAAAUAAACCUUGGAAUUAGGGAAUGAAAGUCUGUUUCUCAGGUAUUGCAACUGUUUCUGCAUAUGCAAGAGGUUGAAUAAUGCUCUGUAUGCAGAGGCCAAAAGAUGUGUCUAUUGUCAAUUCCUAAAGUGAAGAAAAUUUUAAUAUCCAGAGCUGAUACUAAGAUUUCCCUCUAAAGCUUGUUUUGUUAGUCACCACUGCAACAGGAAUGAUUUUUUAUUGCCAUUUGUUAACGCUAAGUUAUUCCCAUUCCAUGUGAAUCUCACAGCACACAAGCUGGCAUGAGUGAGGUAUCAGUUUCAGUUACUCUUUGCUGGCAGGAAAAUAUCUGAACUCAAGAAGAAUUGCAGAUGUUAUGUAGAACUCAAAAAAGGUGGAGUAUUUACUCCAAGGCCAAAUGUGCUGAAAUUAGUUAUCUCUGAACAAAAGCAGAGCCAGUAAAAACAGCAAUGGAAUAUGAUGGUUAUCUGUCAUUCUCUACGGACAUACUUUUAAAGCAAUUAUGAUAUUUAAGCACACGUUUUACUGAACACGUAAUCCUGUGUUUCUGUUCUUUGCUAGUGACCAUAGCUGCUUUAGAAGUUCUGCAUUGUUCUUCUCUUUUAUGUGAUGCCAAUGUAAUGGGUUGCUAUAUUCAAGACCUGUCCUUCUAGCAGCAGCAGUUUUUUUGCUUUCUUUCACUAUUUCUGGAUAAUGGCAGUAUGGAGUGAAAGCAUGAAUGUGGUUAAUACUGUAAAUAACAGCCCAGGAACAAGAAGGAUAACCUGUCUUUGGGUCUGCAGCAAGUCCUUGUGUCCAGAGACAACCAGUGACAACAUCCAUUUCAUCCUGUUUCCUCUUUCUGAAAAUAUUCCCAUACUAUACUGCAAUAACAUUGUUGCCAUGGCACCCAUCAAAACCCAGAUAUGCUCCUGCUUUAACGUAGCAAGAUGCAAAUUUUGAUAAGAGGAGAAUUUCUUUUCAUUUUUCACUGCUAUAGGUAUAGGAUUCUAUCCAUGCCUCCAGACAGAUGCAAUUUACUAAACACUCUUUGUUAUUUCUGAAUACAUGCCAUGGAUUAUUCUUAUCAGUUCAACCCACAAAGGGUUCCUGCUAAAUUUUCUGUACUUGCCUGUUUGAUUUUCAUGGUACAGAUUCCUCUACGUAUGUCAUCUGCACUCGACCACCCUUUAGAAAGGUGGGGAAGUGUGGGGGGAAAGGGGGAGUGGCUCAUCAGCUGGUUUAAAUUGAAGUCAGUGCAUCACAGCAAUAUACACCAGCUGAGGUUCUGGUUCUACAUCUUCAAAGGAGAAAACUUGAACUGAUAUGCAAGCCGUUUUCUUCUUCUGCAACAGAGAACAGCUGGUGAAUCUGACUCUGACUGUAUGCAGCCUAGUGUAAAUAGUGGUAAUUGCCACUGAAGUCUUGAUUUGUACUGAUAGAGUUGGUUGUGGAAGAGAUUAUAUGUGUGUAUGUUCAGACUUUAUUGCACACAACAGCUAGGGAGGGAGGAGAGUCUAGAGCCCACAUCUGAAGUCAUGUUGAUCACGUCAUAAAAGAAUAUUUAAAGUGUAUUUAUUAAAGACAAAUAUUGUGUUCCUGCUUGCCCUUUGUGCUGGCUCAGCAGUUAGAUAUCAGCUUUAGUGGAACGACAGACAGUUCUGUGACAAAGGCAAUUCUCUUGAAAGUACAAAGGCAACCUAAACCCCUUGUAUGCUGGGGUGUGUGAGGUAAGAAGAGGGUAAAGACUGCUAAUGCGUUUGUCUCUGUUGUCUUAGAACAUGUUCCAUUCUGUGAAUGAGUGAUUUGCUCAAGGGACAUACUCUCUGCUAAAUGAAUCUUCAUUCUGGGUCACUUUUGCAUAAAUGUAAGGAAAAUGAUGGAGAUCUGAAAAGUUAAGCUGGCAAAAAAUAAAUGUGUUGGAGAUUU
Long non-coding RNA from Cygnus olor (mute swan), 3474 nucleotides. RefSeq lists it as uncharacterized. The record is from RefSeq and is a predicted model, not a curated record. The transcript has 2 exons. Lineage: Eukaryota; Metazoa; Chordata; Aves; Anseriformes; Anatidae.